AUAAUGCAGUCGAGCGCAGGAGCCGUCUGACCCUUCGGGGGGACGACGGUGGAAUGAGCGGCGGACGGGUGAGUAACACGUAAAGAACCUGCCCAUAGGUCUGGGAUAACCACGAGAAAUCGGGGCUAAUACCGGAUGUGUCAUCGGACCGCAUGGUCCGCUGAUGAAAGGCGCUCCGGCGUCGCCCAUGGAUGGCUUUGCGGUGCAUUAGCUAGUUGGUGGGGUAACGGCCCACCAAGGCGACGAUGCAUAGCCGACCUGAGAGGGUGAUCGGCCACACUGGGACUGAGACACGGCCCAGACUCCUACGGGAGGCAGCAGUAGGGAAUCUUCCACAAUGGACGAAAGUCUGAUGGAGCAACGCCGCGUGAACGAUGAAGGCUUUCGGGUCGUAAAGUUCUGUUGUAAGGGAAGAACAAGUGCCGCAGGCAAUGGCGGCACCUUGACGGUACCUUGCGAGAAAGCCACGGCUAACUACGUGCCAGCAGCCGCGGUAAUACGUAGGUGGCAAGCGUUGUCCGGAAUUAUUGGGGCGUAAAGCGCGCGCAGGCGGCCUCUUAAGUCUGAUGUGAAAGCCCCCGGCUCAACCGGGGGAGGGCCAUUGGGAAACUGGGAGGCUUU
Molecule: ribosomal RNA, 621 nt
Filed under: Exiguobacterium sp. 27
Lineage: Bacteria; Bacillati; Bacillota; Bacilli; Caryophanales
Description: bacterial SSU rRNA
Rfam family: Bacterial small subunit ribosomal RNA
Source: RNAcentral